Molecule: long non-coding RNA, 1326 nt
Organism: Mustela lutreola (European mink)
Lineage: Eukaryota; Metazoa; Chordata; Mammalia; Carnivora; Mustelidae
Exons: 3
Source: RefSeq, a predicted model, not a curated record
ACUUUUUCCUUUUUGUCCUGAAUUAUUUUAGAUGGCUACAUGAGUGUCUGGAUUCAUCUGCAUUAAAACCCCUUGAGAAUUUUUAUAGGUUGAACCAAAACAGAAUAAUGAAAUGAACCCUCCUGGGUAGAAAGGCAGAAAGAGACAUGAAAGAUGAUUUCUCUGAAUUAUUUGGCCUUUAUAGGAAGAACCAUGAUGAGCUUCUAGAAAAUGCAUUAUUGAUGUGAUGUAAUAAGGGGUGCUGAAAUAGCACCAGAUGCCACUAGAUGGCCGCUGAGAACAGAACCUUGGUUUAUUCACCAUGAUGACUGGGUACAAAUGGCUGUUAAGCAUCAAGGCAAGGUGGAAUUGCUCUGCCUAAUCGGGGAGGAAAUUAUUUUAAUGAGAUGAGAAGAGGAGGGAAGAAGAGAGCCAGUGGAUGCUGUCAGAGGAGACGAAGAAGAGGCUGGCGUCCGGAGACCAUACCACCAGGAGCCUGGUGAUCUGUCCAACUAUCAUUGGGAUUUGACUCAACACUCCAGCCAACAGCCUCCUUCUGUCUGCUCUUCUUUGGGGGCUUACUUCGUUCUUUUUAUGCCAGGGUCCCGGGCCUGUCCUGGACCUCACCUGUUCCUGGAAAACAUGCUUUAUCUGCAUUAUCUCUACAUGGUCCAAGCUGUUUGGCUUCAUGUGAUUAGGACUCAGUGACUUCCAUCCCGCGCAUCAUUUUGCCAGACCCAGCUUUCACAGACAACAUGAAAGCCUUGAGGACCAUCAGCUCUGCCCUGUCAUUUCUUCCUCUGCUAUCCCAAUUCCCACAAGACGUUUCUGACCAGAGAGGCUUAUUUAAAUUCUCCACUUUGAAGGAAGCCAGUGAACUCAUGUACUCUUUGCCUUGCUUCUGGAAUUUCAUACCAUCAGAAAGAACUGUGGAACCAUUGCUGGUCUAUGACGAACCAAAGACCUCCUCCUUUUGGACAAAACCACCUUGGAGUCUUUUCCUUGCCAUAAAAUGAAAGCUUCAGGACAAUAAGAAGUAGAAACUUGUUCAAAGGUCUCACUCUCCCAUCCCCUAUUAAAUGAAGGACCAGGGGAUAUUUAAAGAGCGCCCGCAGUCUGGAUGAAGGAGAACUUCUUCAGAUGCAGAUCCUUGAGGCCCCAGACCUGCGUGGAGCCCCACUGAGUGGGUGAUGGUCCUCGCAGUCGCCACACUCUGUAAGUAACCAGCAUGACACUUUUCAGGGCAGGAUUGCCGCCUCCGACCUCCUGCUAUUUCCAUUCAGGCCAAAAGUUAUGAUCAUAGUCUUACCUUACCAGAUUUGGGACACUAUGGGAUAAAUGUUAUUC